This 1150-nucleotide long non-coding RNA is filed under the name Fragaria vesca (wild strawberry). Its description in RNAcentral is "long non-coding RNA (FVES_LNC003880)". The record is from RNAcentral. Lineage: Eukaryota; Viridiplantae; Streptophyta; Magnoliopsida; Rosales; Rosaceae.
UUUUAAAGUAAUCAUCAUCAUAUAUAUAAACGGAAGUCAGAAUGUCGAGAAUACAAUGAUCACCAUGAUCACAAUAGUGUCAUUACAUUAGACAAUUAACUCACUUAUUUGUGAGCAUAACAGAUGAUAAAACUAGAUACAAAAAAAUAUCACGGAAACAUAAGACUGGAGCCAAGGCACUCAAAUUUCAGUACCCCAAACCAUAAGUGACCAUCUAGAUGCAGCUAAUUUGCACAGUCUGUCAAACUCCAAACCGCACAAACACCCACUACAUUUUAUUUUUGUCCUUUAGAUUAGGGCUUGAGGGAGUGACAGAGCGAAGCACGCUCAAAACAUCUUCUCUCGGGUAUUUGGAUAUCUGCUUUGGUGUUUUGAAAUUAGGCAUAGCAACCCAAUUCCAAAUUCGGAGAUCUUUUUUGGGCUUGAGGCUAGCCAAGGACCCAAGCUCAGUUCAAGACCUUGCCAAAUCUGCCUCUUUUCUUGCCGACAAGCUUCCAUGCUGGCAUCUGAGCCCAGAAGCGGGCCCAAACACCUGGGUCCAUAUCCAAGUCCGAGCCCAGCAUUGGAAGGAAGAGACCCGCACCACGCCGACGGGCCAAAUCCGAUCAGCUGCAGCGCCGCCACACAUAGGAAGAUCAAUCGGACAUCGAAGUUGGAUCAGUAGGUGAUCAAAGAAGGGAAAAAAUAAAAAAUAAAGAGCUCGUUACAAUAAAAUCUGUUAGUUGGGUCAAGAGCUCAAUAAGCCCAUUAUUUUUGUCCGAUUAUUGGCCAUUGGGUUUUUUAUAAAUAGUUGAAAGUGACAAGAGGACCCAACGCAGAAUUGCAGGCAAUAAGUUGGUCCCUUCUCCUCGUCCUCUCUCUCUCUCUCUCUCUCUCUCUCUUCUCUCUCUCUCUCUCUCUCUCUCUCUCUCUACUCUAUGAUCCACUUCAACUUCAGUCCAAUUGUAUAAGUUUUGUCAAUGAAGUAAUUAUAACUCUAGCGUUUUAUAUUUUUCACCGUUCAUUUCUUUUUCUUUUGAUACGUACUUGAUUGUCACAAUUAAGAAAAAGUAACAAACUUGGGUCCAAAAGAUAAAUGAAACUAGUAUUAGUCGACCUCCAAAAAAGGACCUUGAAAUAGACACAUUGCCUCAAGCAUGACAUAUAUGUA